This 88-nucleotide ribosomal RNA is filed under the name Klebsiella pneumoniae. RNAcentral describes it as "partial 23S ribosomal RNA". Lineage: Bacteria; Pseudomonadati; Pseudomonadota; Gammaproteobacteria; Enterobacterales; Enterobacteriaceae. The record is from RNAcentral.
GACGUUGAUAGGCGGGUGUGUAAGCGCAGCGAUGCGUUGAGCUAACCGGUACUAAUGAACCGUGAGGCUUAACCUUACAACGCCGAAG